This 27-nucleotide small RNA is filed under the name Bombyx mori (domestic silkworm). RNAcentral describes it as "ovarian small RNA-3480". The record is from RNAcentral. Lineage: Eukaryota; Metazoa; Arthropoda; Insecta; Lepidoptera; Bombycidae.
UCUCGCAGCGCUCAAGGCGCACGGUGG